This 506-nucleotide ribosomal RNA is filed under the name uncultured bacterium. Its description in RNAcentral is "partial 16S ribosomal RNA". It matches the Rfam family "Bacterial small subunit ribosomal RNA", at positions 30 to 523 of the family's 1533-position model. The record is from RNAcentral.
AUUGAACGCUGGCGGCAGGCCUAACACAUGCAAGUCGAACGGUAACAGGAAACAGCUUGCUGUUUCGCUGACGAGUGGCGGACGGGUGAGUAAUGUCUGGGAAACUGCCUGACGGAGGGGGAUAACUACUGGAAACGGUAGCUAAUACCGCAUAACGUCGCAAGACCAAAGAGGGGGACCUUCGGGCCUCUUGCCAUCGGAUGUGCCCAGAUGGGAUUAGCUAGUAGGUGGGGUAACGGCUCACCUAGGCGACGAUCCCUAGCUGGUCUGAGAGGAUGACCAGCCACACUGGAACUGAGACACGGUCCAGACUGCUACGGGAGGAAGCAGUGGGGAAUAUUGCACAAUGGGCGCAAGCCUGAUGCAGCCAUGCCGCGUGUAUGAAGAAGGCCUUCGGGUUGUAAAGUACUUUCAGCGGGGAGGAAGGGAGUAAAGUUAAUACCUUUGCUCAUUGACGUUACCCGCAGAAGAAGCACCGGCUAACUCCGUGCCAGCAGCCGCAGUAA